UGUAAUUUAUUGUUUGUUUUCGUUAUUGUUGGAAAGGAUAGAUACAGAUUCUUGGAAAUGGGUAUGGUAGUCAUUCACAAUCAUUGAUUUGAAGGAUUAUCCGUGGACAAUUGACAGCUGAAAAUUCGGCUACUCUUCCUUCCCUGUUGUUUACCAUCGAUUUUGCUCUCGCUUUCUGAACGUAUCGGCAAUUGAGAGGAGAGAUUAAGGCAAAGGAACAACACAGAUUCUUGAACGGGAUUCUGAUUUCCGAGUUUGCAGAUGACGAAGAAGCAUCGGAAUGGCGAAAUCUGGGAAUUCGAGCGAGAAAUGUCCGACGGAACAGGAGGAGGAGCUGGAGCUGGAGACGUGAUUCUUGGAAUUGAUGGAGGCACAACCUCCACCAUCUGCGUUUGCGUUCCCUUUUUACAGCCUCACUCUCUCCACCUUGCCGAUCCUCUUCCUGUUCUUGCACGAGUCGAAGCCGGCUGCUCCAACCAUAACAGCGUUGGCGAAACUGCUGCAAAGGAAACGCUGGAGCAAGUUAUGGCGGAGGCUCUUUCAAAAGCAGGUUCAAAUCGGUCUGCAGUUCGAGCUGUUUGUCUAUCUGUUUCUGGUGUAAACCAUCCAACGGAUCAGCAAAGGAUUUUGAAUUGGCUCAGGGAUAUAUUUCCUAGCCAUGUCAAACUCUACGUUCGAAAUGAUGCUGUGGCAGCUCUUGCAAGUGGUACCAUGGGAAGGCUUCGUGGUUGUGUUCUAAUUGCUGGCACUGGGACUAUUGCUUAUGGAUUCACAGAUGACGGUAGAGAAGCUCGAGCGGCUGGUGCAGGACCGGUCUUCGGGGAUUGGGGAAGUGGGUAUGGCAUAUCAGCGCAGGCUUUAACUGCAAUUAUAAGGGCGCAUGAUGGUCGUGGUCCUCAAACAAAGCUCACAAAUAGUAUUCUUCAGAUUCUCGGUCUUUCUUCUCCUGAUGAACUCAUUGGGUGGACCUACGCAGAUACAUCUUGGGCUCGCAUUGCUGCACUUGUCCCUAUUGUUGUGUCAUGUGCAGAAGCAGGAGAUGAAGUUGCAAAUAAUAUUCUGCAAGAUUCAGUUAAGGAGUUGGCUUUAAGCGUAAAUGCUGUUGUUCGAAGACUCGAAUUGUGCGGUUCAGAUGGAAAGGAUUCUUUUCCCCUUGUCAUGGUUGGUGGAGUUCUUGAAGGAAACAAGGGAUGGGGUAUAGCAGAAGAAGUUAUAAACUGCAUUUCUAAGGACUACCCUGGGGUAGUUCCCGUUUGGCCUAAGGUGGAACCUGCAAUUGGGGCUGCAUUGUUAGCCUGGAAUUUCUUGAAAGAUUCUCGUCGAGAAUAAGGCUGUAGACAAGUAACUGACAAUUAUUCAUAGAGUCUCAUGAGUUGUACAGAAGCAAAGUCGAAAACGAUGAGCCCGGUAUUGUGAAGAAUGCCCUCUUUUCUCUCAAUCUUGAUUCUGGAUUGGGUGAAGAAAAAGUAUCACAGAUGGUUGAAAUAUCAAGCUUCCUUUGUCUUCAAAGUCAUUGUGGAAAGGUAUGCAGUUGAAUUAUUAUUAUUAUUAUUAUAUAUUUUUUGUACUAUAUAGUUUGAUUUGAAAAUGGAGGUGAAUUGAAAUGAAAAAUUAGUUAAGAAAUGUGUAUAAAAGUUUGGUUUGGAAGGACAGGACUUGACAUCAUGCGGUGUGAGCUGGUGGAGUCGGAGCUUCGCUCCCCUAUGCCCUAUACCCGCCCUUGUUAUUGCAUUCUUGAAAGCACUAGAAUAUCAACAAAUCGGGUAUCAAAUUUCUUUUUAGAUA
RNA transcript from Momordica charantia (bitter melon), 1785 nucleotides. RefSeq lists it as uncharacterized. Lineage: Eukaryota; Viridiplantae; Streptophyta; Magnoliopsida; Cucurbitales; Cucurbitaceae. The record is from RefSeq and is a predicted model, not a curated record.